AUGGGAUUUUCCAAGCAAGAAUUCUGGAGUGGGUUGCCAUUUCCUACUCCAGGGGAUCUUCCCGACCCAGGGUUCAAACCUGCAUCUCCACACCUCCUGCAUUGCAGAGAUUCUUUAUUGCUGAGUCACCAGGGAAGCCCCUAUCAGUUUAUUGGUCUUCUCUGGAGAACCCCAAAACAUCUAAUAUUUUGCUUCAUCUGCUUUAACCCUAAUUUUCUUUCUGUUUCAUGUGUUAAAUCCCACAAGGAAUCUGAAUAAUGCCAUAAAAGCCAAUGCAGGAGACACAAGAGAUGUGGGUUCAGUCCCUGGGUUGGGAAGAGUUCGUGGAGUAGGAAAUGGCAACCUGCUGCAGUAUCCUAGCCUGGAAAACUCCAUGGACAGAGAAGCCUGGAGGACUAGAGUCCAUGGGGUCACAGAAUUGGACAAGACUGAGAGACUGAGCACACACAUUAGAAGUUCAGCCUUUUCCUUCAGCUGGGCCCUAAACAAAACCCCAAAAGCCCUCCCCAAGUUUUUGAUUGGUUCUUUCCCAUUGUCCCUAAUGGCUACUCAAAACUAUCACUAUUGACAAGGUUCCCAAGUCUACUGCUGCUGGUAGUCACCCCUCUUCCUUUCCUCUCAUGAAUUUGACUAGUUUUGGAAGAUGGGUCAUCUCAAGUAGUUGCUCAGUGGUGUCCAACUCUUUGCAACCCCAUGGACUAUAUACAGUCCACGGAAUUCUCUAGGCCAGAAUACUGGAGUGGGUAGCCAUUCCCUUCUCCAGAUCUUCCCAACCCAGGGACUGAACCCAGGUCUCCUGCACUGCAGGCAGAUUCUUUAUCAGCUGAGCCACCAGAGAAGCCCUCUCUUCCCUCAGCCAGACACUAAAUCUGUACUCUUUCCUUUUCUCCCAAUUGGGAGGGAAAAAGCUGCCAUAGUAAGUCCUCCCAUUAGGGCUAAAAUUCAUCUUUGCUUAUCUAAUAAUUCAAUUUUCAGCUGCUCUCCCUUAUCUUCAGUUUCUCCCUCAACUGGUUAUCUAUUCACAAUGGAAAAACACUAUUUUUCUCUUUAAAAAUUUUCUCUUCUUUUUAUUCCCUUUUACAGAUCAGUAAAAUUAAGAAUAAUCAAAAAAGGGUUGUUAUUUUUUUUUAAACUAAAAACAUAUACUCACAGACCAAAAUUACUAUUAUUUCAUGAAAGGACUUUUUAAUUUCUAAGCGGGGCAUUAUUUCAGAAUGUUAAGGUCUUAAAUCAAUUUAGCAUUUUACAAAGACAUUAUAUUGUCCUUGUUUUACCAUUUGAAUGUAGAACAGUCACCAUUUCAUCAUGAAUUUACAGUAUUUGAGAAUUGAUGUCCUCUUCAGACACUAUUUAAGGCCCUGAAAACUGGCUCUUCUCUAUUUCAGAAGCUGCUCUUUACAGAACUCAAUAACAACUUUCUAAUUAUCCAGUCUAAAGGACAUCCUUCAACCCUAUUUGACAUCCCCGCAGCACUCUUCUGGGUCACUUCCCUGUACCAAUUAUCACUAUGUACUGGGUUUCCCAGGUGGUGCUAGUGGUCAAGAACCCACCUGCCAAUGCAGAAGGUAUGAGAUAUGGGUUUGAUUCUGGGAUUGGGGAUUCCCUGGACGAGGAUAUAGCAACCCACUCCAGUAUUCUUGCUUGGAGAAUUCCAUGGAGAGAGGGGCCUGGCAGGCUAUGGUCCAUAGGGUUGCAGAGUUGGACACGACUGAAGUGACUGAGCACGCACACACUGGGUUUUCCACACUUUUGGCUGUUUCUCAGUCUCCUUUAAAUCUUUCCCAGUCACUAAAUAAGGCUGGCCCUCAGGAUUCCACUCUGGAUUUAUUUUCUCCUUAAAUCUUAAUUCAUUUCUGUGUCUAAGCACUGGUGAAUUCCUAAAUCAAAUCCUAAUCCAGAUCUUCCCUCUGCACCAUAUCCACAUCUCCAAUUAUCUUUAGACAUCUCUCACAGAUAGACCAAACAUUACAUGCUCAAACACUUGAGUAAUUAAUCUCCUCAUUCCACACCAGAUGCACCUUCCUCCUCCUCCUCCACCCUCAGGAUUGAGUACCAACCAGCCAAACUCACCUUGAAUCUUUACUCUUCUUCAGCCUUUCUCAUCCAACUAGCAAUCAAGUUUUACUCUGCAUUUUUCAAGUUCAUAUCCUUCUUUCAUCUGGCCUUAAAGACACCACAACCUCUCAACAGUACUACUCUUGAGACUCUUUGAAGUUAACAUGGAAAUGACAGGUCCUUGAACCCUUACUUUAUGCAAUUUUCUGAGGUUAAGAUCCCCAGAUCUAAGAAUGGUCAAGAACCAGUCUUUUCCCUCCUAUUCAUUUCCACAUCACCUUGAGUUAAAAUGAAGGCACCACAAGAUGUGUUGUGUGUAUGUUUGGAAAGAUACACAAGAAUCUGGGGUACUGUAAUAUUUCUUAAGUGGAGUACCAGUUACUUAGGGGUUUACUUGUGAAAACUGAACAGUAUUCUUAAAAUGUGUCCUUACUCAACAUAUCAUAAAUAGAAGGAAAAUAUUACCAUGGGAUUUUAGGCAGAAAUCAAGUCCUCUCUCUUAAACAUGAUGCUUGUUUAUGGGCAGUCUUGCCUCUUGUCACAUUCCUAUCACGAGUUCACUCUGAAGCUACCAGAUCCUCUCACAAUUCUGUCUUCAGACAGUAUUCAUCUUUUCUAGUACUCGAUUGUCUCAUCUUAGGCGUCAUUUCCUCCUGAAAGAUUCAACUUUCUCCUUCCUGGUCUUCUACGAACUUCAUAUCCCUCUCUAAAACCCCUGCCUAUUUCUAUCAUUUUCUUGGAAAAAAGCAGUGUAUACUGCAGUGGACUUGCUUAAAAACAAAAACAAAAACCUUGCUGGCUAUGCUUUUUUGUAGCCAAUGAACUGAACACAUAAGAACCAUUUCAGUGUUACUGGAAUUUGGAUCUAAGAUCCAAGAUUCACAUUCAAGUAUGUUAAAAAUUAUGGUGGGAACACCUCAUACUACCAUGGCCCCGAAUUAAAGUGAAGUCAACAGCCAGAACUUCUGCUCAGCUAGAUAACCAUACAUGAAACAAUGCAACUUCAGCAAAGAGCAGAGAAAAUGUUUAGUGUGCAUGCUGCAAAAAUACACUUUGCAUUAGGUUUUCAAAACAGAGAACAGGUCUAAGAACCUCAUUAUUAGUUGUGAACCUGGGCUAGAGAACUACUGGUGCAGAAAAAGUAGAAUAUCUAGGUUACAGAAGAAAGUGAGGUCUUUUGCUUAAACUAUUAAGAAAUCUAGAAUAAGAGUGUGCUGGUGAUUUGGAAUUAGGAAUGAAAGACUUAACCUCAAUUGAACUAUCCCAGAAAAGGUAACUAGUCAGAUGUAGAACAAAUCACAGCAAUUUAAAUUCUUGAUUCUAAUUUUUAAAUGCAGUAAUGCAUUUGACAGGGUAGAUUUUACAAUGGAGUAAUAAAUAAACUCUUACACAAAGCAAAAAACAAAACAGAUUUAAUGACUAGAACAAAUGAAUUAAUAGGUUUAUAAUAACCAUUAACUAAGGGAAGCCCUAGAACCAGAAAUAAAGAUUGCAUGCAAAGUCUAGUUACCAUAAAAACCAAGGCAUACCAAAAUAUCUGUCUCCUAGCGUAGACUCCAGGUCUUUUUAUUUCCAACUCUCAGUAAUCAAAAUAUUUACACUUUCACAUGCUACUGGUAGUAGAGGAAUAAGACUUAGUCUGUCUAGGACUACAAAUAUCUUUCACAGAAUGGAGUGCACACAAAGAACAGUGUCUUCCUCCACCUUUUUGGGCCCAUCUUAGGGGAAAAAAGGCACUACCUAAGAUUCCUUGGUAACACCUUUGCUAGGUUUGUUACAUAAUCUUUACAUGUAGAAUUAAUGGUCCACUCAUUUCACAGAUCUGGGAACCACAUGGCAUUGGAACUGCCUUUAAGCCACAUGCCAAACUGGCUUCAACAAGGACAACAGCUUUGGAUGUCAGUUCUUAAAAAAAAAUGGGGGCUUUGUUUCCUUGAAAACAUAAAACAUAUGCUUAACUACUGAACUUUGGCACACACAGCCAAACAUAUUGUGGAACUCAAAGAACCACCAUAUAUUUCGGUGCCAGAGGACUAAGUUUUCUAACAUCAGCUGCUUCCAGCCCCCCUAGGCAUAUGCAACUUUGUUCUUCUCCCUUUUAUUAAUUAUAAUUAAGUGCUCUGAACUUGGGUUUAACCUCUCCACUGAGAGAUCUGGGGAAAAAAAAAAAGAUGCUUAAAUUACUGAGUCUUUCUCUGAUCAAAAUGAAGAGUAAUGAAGUCUUCAACUGCAUGUGGGCACUGCCCAUUAUUCACAGAAUCUUUAGAAACCAUGUGCCUGAGGCCAAAGAGAAUCUGCUUUGAUCACUAAGAGUGACUCACACUGAGCCAUACUGAAACUGCACUUGGGUACCUGGUCUCAAGUCAAACUGAACUUAAAUAUUUCUCCA
RNAcentral lists this long non-coding RNA (4444 nucleotides) under Bos grunniens (domestic yak). RNAcentral describes it as "lncRNA (ENSBGRG00000000588.1)". The record is from RNAcentral. Lineage: Eukaryota; Metazoa; Chordata; Mammalia; Artiodactyla; Bovidae.